This 189-nucleotide ribosomal RNA is filed under the name uncultured eukaryote. Its description in RNAcentral is "partial 18S ribosomal RNA". It matches the Rfam family "Eukaryotic small subunit ribosomal RNA", at positions 1487 to 1676 of the family's 1831-position model. The record is from RNAcentral.
CUGCACGCGCGCUACACUGACACGUUCAACGAGUUGUUGCCUGGACCGAGAGGUUUGGGAAUCUUUUUGAAAUCGUGUCGUGAUAGGGAUAGAUUAUUGCAAUUAUUAAUCUUCAACGAGGAAUUCCUAGUAAACGCAAGUCAUCAGCUUGCAUUGAUUACGUCCCUGCCCUUUGUACACACCGCCCGU